AGCGUAGACGGAAUGGCAAGUCUGGUGUGAAAGGCCGGGGCUCAACCCCGGGACUGCAUUGGAAACUGCCAAUCUAGAGUACCGGAGGGGUAAGUGGAAUUCCUAGUGUAGCGGUGAAAUGCGUAGAUAUUAGGAGGAACACCAGUGGCGAAGGCGGCUUACUGGACGGUAACUGACGUUGAGGCUCGAAAGCGUGGGGAGCAAACA
Molecule: ribosomal RNA, 207 nt
Filed under: uncultured bacterium
Lineage: Bacteria
Description: partial 16S ribosomal RNA
Rfam family: Bacterial small subunit ribosomal RNA
Source: RNAcentral